UCAACCAAGGUGUUUCCCGAGAACUCUGAGGAUUCAAAAGAAGUUGUGUUCGGCAGAUGCUACUCAGGUGACCUGUUGCACUAAACUACAAAACAAGUUUGCAAUCCCAAGUAGGACAUCUUUUGAAGCUUGUCUUUUGGGAAGUGAUUCAUAUGCUUUCUGCAGCGGCUUUGACAAUGGAAACAACACUGACAACUAUAAAGAAGAGUUGAAGGAAAAUUCAGGUGUGCUUUGUUGGAAAACCCCCGCACUUCCCUCAGG
This 261-nucleotide long non-coding RNA is filed under the name Rosa chinensis. RNAcentral's name for it is "sRNA RchiOBHm_Chr7g0191731". Lineage: Eukaryota; Viridiplantae; Streptophyta; Magnoliopsida; Rosales; Rosaceae. The record is from RNAcentral.